CCAGCCAUCUGCUGCCUCACCAGCUGCUCUCGGUGCAGGAUGAAACUUAUCUCAAUUCAGGAACCCGGGCCUCAGGCAGAGGGGUGGAAGGAGCACCGCUGACCUCACAAGUGCUGUCUGCAGGAUGUGCGCCCAGACUGGUGCAGACGUUGGAAAUUGGACGAAUCUCUUGUGGUAUCUCCCACUUCGGUCAGCACAAGCAGAGCAUUUCCCCAGCAGUGGAGAAAGACAUGGAUCAUUCCUGUUUGUCCCAUGCACUGGCUCAUCAGAUGUUUCUAGAGAAGCUUCUGCGAUGUCCUUCCUUCAACAAACCAUGCACUGGGGCACCCAGACUGCAAUGAGUAGCAGCCUUGCUGAUGGAAAGAAGAUGCUGUCUGGAUCCCAUGGAAA
Molecule: long non-coding RNA, 390 nt
Organism: Meleagris gallopavo (turkey)
Lineage: Eukaryota; Metazoa; Chordata; Aves; Galliformes; Phasianidae
Source: RefSeq, a predicted model, not a curated record